AGCAGUAGCCACGGUAAAACGGAGGGGGCUAGCGUUGUUCGGAAUUACUGGGCGUAAAGCGCACGUAGGCGGCUUGGUAAGUUAGAGGUGAAAGCCUGGAGCUCAACUCCAGAAUUGCCUUUAAGACUGCCGAGCUAGCAGGUGAGAGAGGUAAGUGGAAUUCCGAGUGUAGAGGUGAAAUUCGUAGAUAUUCGGAAGAACACCAGUGGCGAAGGCGGCUUACUGGCUCAUACUGGACGCUGAGGUGCGAAAGCGUGGGGAGCAAACAGGAUUAGAUACCCCGGUAGUCCCUGUCUCUUAUAC
This 303-nucleotide ribosomal RNA is filed under the name uncultured bacterium. Its description in RNAcentral is "partial 16S ribosomal RNA". It matches the Rfam family "Bacterial small subunit ribosomal RNA", at positions 507 to 807 of the family's 1533-position model. The record is from RNAcentral.